CCCUAGCCCUGAUCGUAGCGGCAUCCUUUUUAUGCUGAAUUUUAUUCAGGAUAAAAAGAUAUAGCGAAGAGCGGGAAUAGCU
RNAcentral lists this small RNA (82 nucleotides) under Flavobacterium frigoris. RNAcentral's name for it is "Flavo-1 RNA". It matches the Rfam family "Flavo-1 RNA". The record is from RNAcentral. Lineage: Bacteria; Pseudomonadati; Bacteroidota; Flavobacteriia; Flavobacteriales; Flavobacteriaceae.